ACCUACGGGACGCAGCAGUGGGGAAUAUUGCACAAUAGGGGAAACCCUGAUGCAGCGACGCCGCGUGAGCGAUGAAGUAUUUCGGUAUGUAAAGCUCUAUCAGCAGGGAAGAGAAUGACGGUACCUGACUAAGAAGCCCCGGCUAACUACGAGCCAGCAGCCGCGGUAAUACGUAGAGGGCAAGCGUUAUCCGGAUUUACUGGGUGUAAAGGGAGCGUAGACGGUCCUGCAAGCCAGAUGUGAAAGCCCGGGGCUCAACCCAGGGACAGCAUUUG
Molecule: ribosomal RNA, 275 nt
Filed under: uncultured bacterium
Lineage: Bacteria
Description: partial 16S ribosomal RNA
Rfam family: Bacterial small subunit ribosomal RNA
Source: RNAcentral